RNAcentral lists this ribosomal RNA (422 nucleotides) under uncultured archaeon. Its description in RNAcentral is "bacterial SSU rRNA". It matches the Rfam family "Archaeal small subunit ribosomal RNA", at positions 459 to 881 of the family's 1478-position model. The record is from RNAcentral.
CAGCCGCCGCGGUAAAACCAGCACCUCAAGUGGUCAGGAUGAUUAUUGGGCCUAAAGCAUCCGUAGCCCGUUUUGUAAGUUUUCGGUUAAAUCCAUGCGUUUAACGUAUGGGCUGCCGGGAAUACUGCAUAACUAGGAAGUGGGAGAGGUAGACGGUACUCGGUAGGAAGGGGUAAAAUCCUUUGAUCUAUUGAUGACCACCUGUGGCGAAGGCGGUCUACCAGAACACGUUCGACGGUGAGGGAUGAAAGCUGGGGGAGCAAACCGGAUUAGAUACCCGGGUAGUCCCAGCUGUAAACUAUGCAAACUCAGUGAUGCAUUGGCUUAUGGCCAAUGCAGUGCUGCAGGGAAGCCGUUAAGUUUGCCGCCUGGGAAGUACGCACGCAAGUAUGAAACUUAAAGGAAUUGGCGGUGGAGCACCA